This 1961-nucleotide long non-coding RNA is filed under the name Lathyrus oleraceus (garden pea). RNAcentral's name for it is "Pisum sativum (pea) long non-coding RNA (PSAT_LNC033683)". Lineage: Eukaryota; Viridiplantae; Streptophyta; Magnoliopsida; Fabales; Fabaceae. The record is from RNAcentral.
UUUUCUGCACUCAAUAAGCUGGCUGUUGCAGACUGUGAAGAGAGAAAGAAAGGUAUAUAUGUAAAGAUGUUUCCCAAUGUUUUUUCUAAUGGAAUAUAUUUUGACUGUUGUGCUCUCUUUUUUCUCUUUUCUCUUUUGUAUCCUUUUCGCAAUUUUGAUUCUUACAUGCAUCGUAUGAUGUUAAAAGUAAUGCACAACCAAAUCAGAUAGUGGCAACAAAAUUUCCACAACAUAACACUCAACAAGACACAUUCAUUUUGCAUCUGGUCCAUGCUAAUAUAGGAUGACAAAACCGACUGUGUCCAUCACAACAGUCUCAUUAGACCGCUAUUUGAGUAGAAUGAGUUGUCUUUUUUUUUAAUUAAAAUUUUAAAAAAAUAUUAUUAAACUUUUUUAAAUAUUUAAUUAAGACUUUUAUAAAACUCAAAUAAUUUUGUGAUAUUUAAUUAAAAUAUUUAUGACUUAUUUAAAAUAAUAUUAUUUAUGUGUAUUCAAUUGAGACUUUUCAUAACUUUAAAAAAAUUAGUGGUAGUCAAAAUAUACCGAUUAUGAUAAAUUAAAUCAAUAUGACAAAUUAUUUUGUAAAUUCAUUUUUGAGAAUUUUUUUUAAUUAAAAAUGUAUAUACCAACAAUUUUACUCAUACUUUUUUAAACUUAAAACAAAAUUCUAUCAUCACGGUUCAUAUCAUAUUAUUAUUAUUAUUAUUAUUAUUUUUCUAUCAUUGUAAUUUAUAUUAUAUCAUUUUUUUUUAUUACUAUAUUUACUUAUACUGGUUGAUUUUUAUUAUUUACCUCCAACAUUUUUUAUUUGAUCUAAUAUUUUUUUAACAUAAUGUCUUUUUUUGAGAUCUAAGUUGUCUUUUUUAUUUUAUAUAUUUUUAAGUUGAUAUUAUGUUAUGUUAUUUUUAUAUUACUAAUAUUAUUAAAAUUUUAUAGGUAGAUAUUAAUUUUUUUAGUAUGCUUUUCCAUUAUUUUUUAUUAAAUUAUUAUCCCAAACAUUUUCACAAACACUUUUUAAUAAUUGCAAAACAAUAAUUAUUCUUUUAAAAAGAAAUCCCAAACAUAUAAUCUUAUUCAAUCUUAUACAUAAUAUAAUCAAGAGAAUACAAAUUAAUUAAUAUUUCUAAAUUUUAGUUUACAUUUUUUAACCAACACCAUCCUUUUAUAUAAAAUCGAAGCAUCACUUAUUUCUAGAUAUGGAAUAUUUGGUAGUUCUCUUUGGAGUGAAUUGUGUUUUAGGCCAACAACUUGAAUCUAUUAAAUAAUUGCCGUUAUUGUUCUUGUUGAAUUUGGUACUUGUUCUUACUGAACUUGUGUGUGCUCUAUUAGCGGUAAGCUAAAGACAAAGAUUUAAGGUGUAUGAUUUGUUUUGAGUGUGAAGAGUGAUACGUAUACACUAAAAAUGAGAUGAUAUGAUUGUUUGAAAUAUCUCUUAAAAUGUUAAGUGAUGAAAAGAAAAAAUAUAUAUUUCGAGAUUGCAGAAACCAAAAAUCCGCAGAAGUAGUUAGAAGGAUGUCAAAAGGUGUUCGAACUGCAUGCAAGAGGUUUAGCGGGUGUGGUCGAUGAUGGUGAGACACAACCGUUGGAAAUCAAAAAUCGACGACGGUGGUGGAAUCACAUGUGGAAGGCUAUGGUCUGCGGAGGGGUCGGUCGAGUGGUGGAGCUUUGGUUGGCAGCAGAGGUUCAUGUCGGUAUACAACGGUUCAAGUUUUUGGUUGGGUGUUUUGGGCUUCUCUGAUCGGUCAAUGGAUAUGUUCGUUAAUGAGUUAUGUUUUAGACUUCUUAUGCAUUCAUUAGGUUUCAAAAGUUAUAAAUAUGUAUCUCCCAUAGAGUAGAUCAUUUGAUGACACUAGGUAAACAAAUUAUUGUGUUUAUUGUCUUUAUUUUAUCUUAUUUUGUCAAUUACAUUGAUCUCUUAAUGCUUAGAGAUUUAUAUUUGUUGAAAGUCAUAUAUUCUGGUU